This is a long non-coding RNA of Lotus japonicus, 828 nucleotides long. RefSeq lists it as uncharacterized. NCBI's taxonomy places the organism in Eukaryota, Viridiplantae, Streptophyta, Magnoliopsida, Fabales, Fabaceae. The record is from RefSeq and is a predicted model, not a curated record. The transcript is spliced from 2 exons.
UGUGAACUUCACCAGUUCACCUAAAAAAAAGAGGAUCGCUUCUGUUCUGUGAAAUAGUUGAAUUAACACCUCAACAAUAUUUUGUUGUGUGGCGCAGCGAAGAGGAGAGGAGACGUAUGAUGACGUCAGCCCGAAGAUCUUCGCAAUUCCCAUUUCUAUUGAUCAUGAUCUCUCUAUAUCUGCAAAUCUUUUCUGGCCUAGCCAACAACCCAUCAAGUGCCAAAAAUGAAAAUAAAGAUGUGAAUCAUCACGCUUCAAGAAGCUCUGUGGGGUUCAACAUAAUUAUUAUAUGCCUCGGGGUGGUGACAGUCAUUGCAUUCUGUGUUUUUCUUUUCAAGUUAUGGCAAAGGAAGAAGAGAGAAGAGCAACAUGCUCGUCUUUUGAAGCUGUUUGAGGAUGAUGAUGAACUUGAGGUGGAACUUGGUAUGCGGGAUUGACACCUUAUGGCUUAUUCAUUCACGAUACAAGAGAUGCACAACAAUUUCAUUUCAACAAGGCUAUUCUCUUUUUCCAUUCAACUUUAGUACGGGUAUUUGAAAAGUUAAAAUUAGACAUCGGCUUGUUACCAGUUUGUUCCACUCCUGGUUUAGCAGGGGAGAUUUACGGUUCAAUACCCAUCUUGUCACUCAAUGAGAACAACUAGAAUCAAGUUUAUAUUUUAUCAUUGUAUACUUGUUUGUAAAUCAUAAAUUCAUUAUACUUUGUAAGUAGAUACCAAUCAAUCAAAUUUUUAUCUAAGGUGUAUUUUCGGUGUGAGAAUCUGUUUCCACCAACACAGUGGCUCCAAAUUGUAUUUCUUAUGCACACCUUUUUUGUAGUGUUGUACAA